CAGCUGGAGAGAGGUGACAUGGACUUGCCUCAUGAUGGACACGUGAGUAUGAUGCAGAGGAUGUAUCGCGCUUCUGUUCUAAAGGCGGCUCUGCACAACUGGAAUGCGUAUCAGUAACAACACGAGGUAAACCACUUGUGCAGAUUCUUGCUUUAAAUUUAGAAAGGAAUUCUAUAUUGCUUGGAAUUUUCGUUUUAGUCUUUUUAGGGAAAUGUCCACACAGUCAGUUUACACCUCUGCUGCAGCUGUUCCCUUUCUGCAGUAGAUUAACCCCACACAACAACAAUAUAUAUUUAUAUAUAUAUAUAUAUGUUUGCAUCUGCUUUUUUUUUUUUUUUUUUCUCCAGUGAAUCUGUGGGUGUUGUGGAAUCUGAUCACAUGAACCUGAAACUCUGCUCGCAAAGUGCCUGGCACUUACAGCUCUUGUUGUAGUCCCUAAGGCCCAGCACACACACACUCUUGCCUUUUCUGUAGGUUUGCUGUGAACCCAGGCAGCUGCCACACAGACCUGACAACACGUCUGCUGGGGAGGGAGAUGGCAUCCAGGCUGGGGAGGCUGCUGAGCAAGGAUUUUUUGGGGCAGCCAUGGAGGAGGGAAGGGCUGUGAGAGUUACGGGGGCUACAAACAUCCCUUGCAGUUUCCCAGGAAUCCUAUAAACACACAGGCUUUCAGCUGACACUAAGACAAAACAUUCUCCACCCAGGACCUCCGCUGCCUUGGACCGUCACUGAGGGCCCAUCCCAAGCGUUUCCCAGACUUGUCAAGUAGGUAGCUUGUCAAUCAAAAACAAAACAACAACAAAAACCCACAACACAACAUCAUGAAAAAACAACCAUCAUCAACAACAAAGCACACAAACACAACAAAAACAACAACAACAGAAAACAUCACAGAACUGUUCCUAUGCGUGAGUGUGGAUGGCCUGUCUGGGGAGGCAGGGAAGUCAGAUGUCUACUUUGUCCCAGCACUGCAUCCGUUCAGUGGAUAUAAAGCAAGGAUAAAGACUUUGGAGAAGAAGGGAGAGAUGUGUGAAGAGUAUGGCACAGCAACAGCCAAAGCUUCCCCAUAGAUUUGUUAUUGCAGAUUGGAACAUCUCAAAGUAAGUCACAGUAGUGGGGAGGAGGGGUAAGAGCAAUGCAAGGUGUGAUACGUUAUAAGCAGUGAAUUACAAGGAUUAUUUAGGGCUAUAAGUAAGUCAACUGGCUCAGUUUGUUUUGUGAGCAGGAUAAAAAGGGAAGGGAGGCAGCGAGGUGGCUACUGUACUAGUGUCUGUUUCCUUCGGACUUGGCAGGACGACAGAGCUCCUCGCCUUGGGCGUUUCAAAAAUGCCAGGGUUCAGCUCUGAAAACACCAGCAAUGUUGAUUCAAUUUACUAUUUUUGUGGUUCUUAAUUUGCCUCUUGCUAUUUGGAAAUUCAGCUUGGCAAAGGUUUCCGUGCACCUGGGAAGGC
Molecule: long non-coding RNA, 1451 nt
Filed under: Anas platyrhynchos (mallard)
Lineage: Eukaryota; Metazoa; Chordata; Aves; Anseriformes; Anatidae
Description: lncRNA (ENSAPLG00020004741.1)
Source: RNAcentral